GGCGCCCUGGCCCUUCGGUGAUUGGCUGCGGCGCACUCAAGCCCCGCCCCCGGCCUCACGGAGUUUCCAAAACCUCCUGGGGGCGGCAACGCGCCGUGGACCCCAGCCCUUUGUUAGAGCCCAGCUGUAUAAGGGUAUUAUGCGCAGCCGGCGUUCUCCAAGAGCCGAGUCCGAGGCUGUCAGAACUGGAGAGGCCCUUGGAACGCCGCUCCCGUCCCGAGGUUUACCUCGGGGCCACUGGAGCUCAGAGAGGAGACUGACUGCGAAGACCACAAAACAAGUUCGCCUGAGACCUGGGGGGCUAAGUCAAGGCUGAACUGCAGAGGCUACUCCCCUUCUGGUACCCUCAGAGAGAACUCUCAAUAUCCUUUCUACCGAAGUGCUGCCUCAGACCGAAAAAAAGGCGUGUCACCUGACUUCCCCCAAAUGCUGAAGGGUUCUGCUACAACACGGUCCCAGUUUAAGGGCCAGAGGCACGGAUUCACCACCGUAGCUGUUGGCACGUAUCGGCUCGGAACACCUUUCGUCCUUCGUGGAAAGAUUAAAGAACAUACUGUAUUUUAAAUGUCUGA
This is a non-coding RNA of Ictidomys tridecemlineatus (thirteen-lined ground squirrel), 572 nucleotides long. The record is from RefSeq and is a predicted model, not a curated record. Lineage: Eukaryota; Metazoa; Chordata; Mammalia; Rodentia; Sciuridae.